This 1276-nucleotide ribosomal RNA is filed under the name metagenome. RNAcentral's name for it is "bacterial SSU rRNA". It matches the Rfam family "Bacterial small subunit ribosomal RNA". The record is from RNAcentral.
GAUCCUCUCUGGCGACGAGUGGCGGACGGGUGAGUAACGCGUAGGAAUCUACCUGGUAGUGGGGGACAACUUGGGGAAACUCAAGCUAAUACCGCAUACGCCCUACGGGGGAAAGCGGGGGAUCUUCGGACCUCGCGCUAUCAGAUGAGCCUGCGUUAGAUUAGCUAGUUGGUAGGGUAAAGGCCUACCAAGGCGACGAUCUAUAGCUGGUCUGAGAGGACGAUCAGCCACACUGGGACUGAGACACGGCCCAGACUCCCACGGGAGGCAGCAGUGGGGAAUAUUGGACAAUGGGCGAAAGCCUGAUCCAGCAGCAGCGUUAAUCGGAAUUACUGGGCGUAAAGCGUACGUAGGCGGUUAGUUAAGUUAGAUGUGAAAGCCCCGGGCUUAACCUGGGAACUGCAUUUAAAACUGGUUAACUAGAGUUGAGUAGAGGGGAGUGGAAUUUCAGGUGUAGCGGUGAAAUGCGUAGAGAUCUGAAGGAACACCAGUGGCGAAGGCGACUCCCUGGACUCAAACUGACGCUGAGGUACGAAAGCGUGGGUAGCAAACAGGAUUAGAUACCCUGGUAGUCCACGCCGUAAACGAUGUCAACUAGCCGUUGGGUUUAUUGUAAACUUAGUGGUGGAGCUAACGCAUUAAGUUGACCGCCUGGGGAGUACGGCCGCAAGGUUAAAACUCAAAUGAAUUGACGGGGCCCGCACAAGCGGUGGAGCAUGUGGUUUAAUUCGAUGCAACGCGAAGAACCUUACCUACCCUUGACAUCCUCAGAACUUGUUAGAGAUAACUUGGUGCCUUCGGGAACUGAGUGACAGGUGCUGCAUGGCUGUCGUCAGCUCGUGUCGUGAGAUGUUGGGUUAAGUCCCGUAACGAGCGCAACCCUUAUCCUUAGUUGCUAGCAGGUAAUGCUGAGAACUCUAAGGAGACUGCCGGUGAUAAACCGGAGGAAGGUGGGGACGACGUCAAGUCAUCAUGGCCCUUAUGGGUAGGGCUACACACGUGCUACAAUGGCCGGUACAGAGGGCUGCAACCUCGUGAGAGCAAGCAAAUCCCAAAAAGCCGGUCCUAGUCCGGAUUGCAGUCUGCAACUCGACUGCAUGAAGUCGGAAUCGCUAGUAAUCGCGAAUCAGAAUGUCGCGGUGAAUACGUUCCCGGGCCUUGUACACACCGCCCGUCACACCAUGGGAGUGGGUUGCAAAAGAAGUGGGUAGUCUAACCUUCGGGAGGGCACUCACCACUUUGUGAUUCAUGACUGGGGUGAAGUCGAAACAAGGUA